AGAGUUUGAUCCUGGCUCAGGAUGAACGCUAGCGGCAGGCUUAACACAUGCAAGUCGAGGGGCAGCACGUCUUCGGAUGGUGGCGACCGGCGCACGGGNGCGUAACGCGUAUACAAUCUACCUUUUACAGAGAGAUACCCCAGAGAAAUUUGGAAUAAUACCUCAUAAUAUUAUUGCUUGGCAUCGAGUGACAAUUAAAGUUUCGGCGGUAAAAGAUGAGUAUGCGUCCUAUUAGCUAGUUGGUAAGGUAACGGCUUACCAAGGCAACGAUAGGUAGGGGUCCUGAGAGGGAGAUCCCCCACACUGGUACUGAGACACGGACCAGACUCCUACGGGAGGCAGCAGUGAGGAAUAUUGGUCAAUGGGCGAAAGCCUGAACCAGCCAUGCCGCGUGCAGGAAGACUGCCCUAUGGGUUGUAAACUUCUUUUAUACAGGAAGAAUAACUCGGACNUGAGAAGAAGUGACGGUACCAUAGGAGGAAGCCCCGGCUAACUCCGUGCCAGCAGCCGCGGUAAUACGGAGGAUCCAAGCGUUAUCCGGAUUUACUGGGUUUAAAGGGUGCGUAGGCGGAUUGAUAAGUCAGUGGUGAAAGCCUGCAGCUUAACUGCAGAACUGCCAUUGAUACUGCCAGUCUGGAGUAUGGUUGAGGUAGCUGGAAUGUGUCAUGUAGCGGUGAAAUGCUUAGAGAUGACACAGAACACCGACGGCGAAGGCAGGUUACCAACCCAUUACUGACGCUGAGGCACGAAAGCGUGGGGAUCAAACAGGAUUAGAUACCCUGGUAGUCCACGCCGUAAACUAUGAUUACUAGUUGUUGGCGAUACAUUGCCAGUGACUGAGCGAAAGCAUUAAGUAAUCCACCUGGGGAGUACGUUCGCAAGAAUGAAACUCAAAGGAAUUGACGGGGGCCCGCACAAGCGGAGGAGCAUGUGGUUUAAUUCGAUGAUACGCGAGGAACCUUACCUGGGCUUGACAUCCCGAUCGUACCUGCUGAAAGGCUGAUUCCCUUCGGGGCUGCUUACAAGGUGCUGCAUGGUUGUCGUCAGCUCGUGCCGUGAGGUGUCGGGUUAAGUCCCAUAACGAGCGCAACCCUUAUCGUUAGUUGCCAGCGGGUCAAGCCGGGGACUCUAGCGAGACUGCCACCGUAAGGUGUGAGGAAGGGGGGGAUGACGUCAAAUCAGCACGGCCCUUACGUCCGGGGCGACACACGUGUUACAAUGGUAGGUACAGAGGGGCGCUAUCCAGCGAUGGAGUGCGAAUCUCAAAAACCUAUCUCAGUUCGGAUCGGAGUCUGCAACUCGACUCCGUGAAGUCGGAUUCGCUAGUAAUCGCGCAUCAGCCAUGGCGCGGUGAAUACGUUCCCGGGCCUUGUACGCACCGCCCGUCAAGCCAUGGAAGUUGGGGGUGCCUAAAGUUCGUGACCGCAAGGAGCGACCUAGGGUAAAACCAAUGACUGGGGCUAAGUCGUAACAAGGUAACC
Molecule: ribosomal RNA, 1481 nt
Filed under: uncultured bacterium
Lineage: Bacteria
Description: 16S ribosomal RNA
Rfam family: Bacterial small subunit ribosomal RNA
Source: RNAcentral